AUGGUUAAAGAAGAAAAAGAAGAAAACAUGGGUUCUGUUGAAUUUCAAGUAUCCAGUCUCACCAAUAAAAUACGGAGACUUGCUUCACAUUUAGAAUUACACAAAAAAGAUUUUUUAUCAGAAAGAGGUCUACGAAGACUUUUGAGAAAACGUCGACGUUUGCUGGCUUAUUUGGCAAAGAAAAAUAGAGUACGUUAUAAGAAAUUAAUCAAAAACAUUCCCUGGAUAAGCCUCACGGCCGGGAGGUCUUCUUAA
RNAcentral lists this ribosomal RNA (255 nucleotides) under Triticum aestivum (bread wheat). RNAcentral's name for it is "partial small subunit ribosomal RNA". Lineage: Eukaryota; Viridiplantae; Streptophyta; Magnoliopsida; Poales; Poaceae. The record is from RNAcentral.